CCUACGGGUGGCAGCAGUGAGGAAUAUUGGUCAAUGGCCGUAAGGCUGAACCAGCCAAGUAGCGUGAAGGAAGACUGCCCUAUGGGUUGUAAACCUCUUUUAUGCGGGGAUAAAGGUGUCCACGUGUGGAUGUUUGCAGGUACCGCAUGAAUAAGGACCGGCUAAUUCCGUGCCAGCAGCCGCGGUAAUACGGAAGGUCCGGGCGUUAUCCGGAUUUAUUGGGUUUAAAGGGAGCGUAGGCGGGUCGUUAAGCGUGCCGUGAAAUUUUGUGGCUCAACCAUGAGAGUGCGGCGCGAACUGGCUGCCUUGAGUGCGCGGAAGGCAGGCGGAAUUCGUGGUGUAGCGGUGAAAUGCUUAGAUAUCACGAAGAACCCCGAUUGCGAAGGCAGCUUGCCGCAGCGUUACUGACGCUGAAGCUCGAAAGCGCGGGUAUCGAACAGGAUUAGAUACCCCAGUAGUC
Molecule: ribosomal RNA, 460 nt
Filed under: uncultured bacterium
Lineage: Bacteria
Description: partial 16S ribosomal RNA
Rfam family: Bacterial small subunit ribosomal RNA
Source: RNAcentral